Molecule: ribosomal RNA, 305 nt
Filed under: uncultured bacterium
Lineage: Bacteria
Description: bacterial SSU rRNA
Rfam family: Bacterial small subunit ribosomal RNA
Source: RNAcentral
UUUCCCUACGGGGCGCAGCAGUGAGGAAUAUUGGUCAAUGGUCGGGAGACUGAACCAGCCAAGCCGCGUGAGGGAGGAAGGUACAGAGUAUCGUAAACCUCUUUUGUCAGGGAACAAAGGCGGGGACGUGUCCCCGGAUGAGUGUACCUGAAGAAAAAGCAUCGGCUAACUCCGUGCCAGCAGCCGCGGUAAUACGGAGGAUGCGAGCGUUAUCCGGAUUUAUUGGGUGUAAAGGGAGCGUAGGUGGCAGGGCAAGUCAGAUGUGAAAACCCGGGGCUCAACUCCGGGCGUGCAUUUGACACUGU